GUGGUUUGUUUCGUUUGGUAUGAUCUUAUUACAGUGUUCUACUACACUGUAAUCUAAUUUAGGAAACUCUAUGGGUAUAUUAAUUCAUGUGUGUUUCCGGUUAGCUCUGCGCAUUUAUAGAAUCCUGUUUUUUUAUAUAUAGUACCAGACCAAAGUCAAUGGUGCAAGGAGAAACUGUCAAGUCAUCAAACACAACGUUGUGCAGCGUCCAGGAAAAGACGUCUCGCCACUGAUUGGCGCUGCUGUGGACGCUGUCCACUCUCUUCACGCCUCUUUUUUGGUGGAGGUGGAUUGCCAUCACAUGCGAAAGCUUUAUUCCGAGGUGUCUGAUGCAUUGGCCUUUCCACGGGCUGAGACAGCAGCUGCUCAUCACUGUCACUUGAAGACGUAAUGUCUGCAGCUUCAAAGGCCUCCCAAAACUCAUUACCAAUCUUACCCAGUUCUAACACUUCAGCCACUUCCUGAGGGUCAGCAGCAUCACCCAAGAUCUUGCGGAAGGCUGGCAGUGAGUCGCAGCAGAAGAAAGCUGUCAGGUCAAUGCCGGGAGCAGCGUGCUUCAGCUCGGCUCGCAGGAGUGGAAAGUCAAACUUGUCACCAUUGUGCGCCACUAGGCAGAUGGGCGGCUGCAGUGUGUACAAGAACUUCUCCACGACAUGCGCCAUUUCACCAAAGGAUGGGCACCACUGCAAGUCCCAAUUGUCCAAACCUGAAAAGGCAAUUGGAACAACUGAGGACAAACCUGUCACUGACAGACCACAAGGUGGCUGUGAACCCCACGAUACGUUUUCUGGUCCCCAUGCCUAUAUUCUUCCAGGGCGCACAGCUCAUGGCCAGUGUGACAUGGAACAUUGCAGUUUUGUGUUGGCUUUCCCAAAGCAUAUGUUGACACCAAUGAAUCUCUCCUUCAUUUAUACACAGCUUAGACUGCAUUUCCAUAUUUUAGUGUUACAGGGAAACUAUAAAAUAUAUAGAAGAACACAUAACAGCAACUGUACUAUGUGCAGACUGUAUAUACACACAGAGCACCACAUCCACGUAAUAAACUGCGAUACCAUGGUACACAUGUCAAACAUAACUUAGCACUGCUGUACAGCCCUAGUGGGGCAAGAAUGUUUACAAUGUCGGUAAAGUAAUACAUUACAAGGCAGAAAUAUCAAUAAUAAAAAAAUGUUAUCCAUCUGUCUGACACAUGCACUAUACUAGAGCUCACAAUUCAUGUACCGUGCUUGUCACCAUAUUAAUUAUACUGCAGUCAGUAUUUGUCCCAAAAAAAGUACUCUGAAAGAAAGUAAUAUACACUACCAAAGACAAUGCAGAAAGCCCGAGACCAUUUCUGUAAGUCUGGGUUGUGUCCUUUUUACCUCACUCUUAAUAACUAGGCUUUGCAGAUUUGUGAUUCUUUGAAGCCACCAAAACACAAACUUUUGUCAAUGCAAAGCACAUGCACACACAAAGAUACAGUAGGAAAUAAAGGUGGCAUGACAUAUAAAACCCAUACAAACAAGUCCUGAUAAAUUAGGUCAACUAUUGGCACUGCCAAUGUGAAAACUACUUUCUAAUGCUUAGCAGGCACAUGUGUCAUUUGUACCGAGAUUAGGAGAGCAUAACUGCGAAGGUGUGUGGCAAAAUAUUUUUGCAUUGCUCACAUCGCCUAACAGCGAAAGGACACCUGUUUCAAGCAGUUUCAUUCUGUGAUAAUACUGAAGUCGCGCACCAUGCAUUAUCGGCAACAGCUCUCAAGGUCACUGUGAACUUGUGACAGAGCAUCUUUGCUAGUCAAUUUGUCCCAUUCCAAGUUAGCUCCUGCUUGCAUGGUGGGUCUAAAGGUUGGAAGUAUGUACAUAUCCCAUAAAAUGCCUGUAGGUGCUCAGGAUAAACGCUAUUUCUGCAUGCUAUCCCCACUCGUGCCUUUCAUUGUUAUGUCCCUAUUUUCAGUAACUGUGCACGGAGCUUUCAGAAUUGUGUUGGUGCAGAAGUGAGGGACAAUGUUGUUAUGUGUAGCAUACUGAGUUGUUUUGUUAUCAUCAUGUAUGCUAUGUUAGAUUUUGAGCCGCGCCAAGUUUGCUUCACCAAAUGAAGUGCCUUCUAAAUAGGUGCCAGCCUACUGCCAUCGUGCCAUGACCUUUUUUUGUUUGAAAGCACAAGACAUUGUAGUGCAUUAUCUUUUUUUCGUUGUGCAUCCAUUGCAAACGUGGCAGCUAUAGCAAUUUUUCAACACUGGUAUACAAAAGGGGCCCCAGAGAGCUUCAUUUAAAGAGAUUGAAAUCAAACCAACUUAGUCACAAGGCAAUAAUAUUUGUUAUGUACCGAUGGGUGUAAAAUUUAUUUGCAUGCCACAAGGAUCAUACAGUAUUGCCCUGAUGCUCACUUUACCAAAUUUCAGGCACUCUCGUUUCAGGCCCAUGACCCAAAAAGAAUUGCCUGCAAAGGCUACAGGCAAUGAAAUACUAUCACCCUAGCAACCCAGCCUAUCUAUUGGCCAUGACGAAUUAGUGCCACACCAAAAGAAGCACAAACAGUAUUCGUUUAGCAGGGUGACUAAAAUAAAGACUAAACAAACCAAAUAAUACCUCACUUAGCCUGUACAGUCGCCCAUUUUUUUAAGGGACUGCAAACCGUCCUUCAACGAUUUUCUGCUUUGUAUCGCAAUGAAAAGCGUACUAUCUGAAGUGUCCAACCUUGCAGCAGUUUCUCUGGAAAAUAGGUAGAAAUUUUUAAAACAUAACUUUCCUAUCUGUGUUUGGUCUUUUUUUAUUGGUGUGAUAAAUGCUGACAACACUGAUGGGUAGAGGCGAUGACUGUAGUGCUGGAGAAAGCCUGAAACUGAAACCAUGUGCAGUUUUUGCAGGCUUUAUCAAGUUUUGUUUUAAUAACAAAAAUACCGCAGUGGUCAAUUAAAGCCUGAAAAUUGUCAAAUAAAGUAUUAUUACCAUGGUU
This 2937-nucleotide long non-coding RNA is filed under the name Rhipicephalus microplus (southern cattle tick). RNAcentral describes it as "uncharacterized LOC119161060". Lineage: Eukaryota; Metazoa; Arthropoda; Arachnida; Ixodida; Ixodidae. The record is from RNAcentral.